UACGUAGGUGGCAAGCGUUGUCCGGAUUUAUUGGGUUUAAAGGGUGCGUAGGCGGUCCUAUAAGUCAGUGGUGAAAUACGGCAGCUCAACUGUCGAGGUGCCAUUGAUACUGUAGGACUUGAGUACAGACGAGGUAGGCGGAAUUGACGGUGUAGCGGUGAAAUGCUUAGAUAUCGUCAAGAACACCGAUAGCGAAGGCAACUUACUAGACUGUAACUGACGCUGAGGCACGAAAGUGUGGGGAUCAAACAGG
This 253-nucleotide ribosomal RNA is filed under the name uncultured bacterium. RNAcentral's name for it is "partial 16S ribosomal RNA". It matches the Rfam family "Bacterial small subunit ribosomal RNA", at positions 524 to 776 of the family's 1533-position model. The record is from RNAcentral.